UACGUAGGGUGCAAGCGUUGUCCGGAAUUAUUGGGCGUAAAGAGCUCGUAGGCGGUUUGUCACGUCUGCUGUGAAAUCCCGAGGCUCAACCUCGGGCCUGCAGUGGGUACGGGCAGACUAGAGUGCGGUAGGGGAGAUUGGAAUUCCUGGUGUAGCGGUGGAAUGCGCAGAUAUCAGGAGGAACACCGAUGGCGAAGGCAGAUCUCUGGGCCGUAACUGACGCUGAGGAGCGAAAGCGUGGGGAGCGAACAGG
This 253-nucleotide ribosomal RNA is filed under the name uncultured bacterium. RNAcentral describes it as "partial 16S ribosomal RNA". It matches the Rfam family "Bacterial small subunit ribosomal RNA", at positions 524 to 776 of the family's 1533-position model. The record is from RNAcentral.